This 521-nucleotide ribosomal RNA is filed under the name uncultured bacterium. RNAcentral's name for it is "partial 16S ribosomal RNA". It matches the Rfam family "Bacterial small subunit ribosomal RNA", at positions 28 to 523 of the family's 1533-position model. The record is from RNAcentral.
GACGAACGCUGGCGGCGUGCCUAAUACAUGCAAGUCGAGCGGGCCUCCGGAGGUGCUUGCACCUCCGGAAGGCCAGCGGCGGACGGGUGAGUAACACGUGGGCAACCUGCCUUUGAGGCCGGGAUAACACCGGGAAACCGGUGCGAAUACCGGAUACGUCCUCUUUCGCGCCUGCGAGAGGGGAGAAAGACGGUCGUUAAGGCCGUCGCUCAACGAGGGGCCCGCGGUGCAUUAGCUGGUUGGUGGGGUAAGGGCCUACCAAGGCGACGAUGCGUUGCCGACCUGAGAGGGUGAUCGGCCACACUGGGACUGAGACACGGCCCAGACUCCUGCGGGAGGCAGCAGUAGGGAAUCAUCCGCAAUGGGCGAAAGCCUGACGGUGCAACGCCGCGUGAGUGAGGAAGGUUUUCGGAUCGUAAAGCUCUGUUGUGAGGGAAGAACAGCUUCCGGAGGAAAUGCCGGAGGUUUGCCGGUACCUCACCAGAAAGCCCCGGCUAACUACGUGCCAGCAGCCGCCGUAA